GACACCUUGGGCCAAUGGGAAUCAUUUCCAUUUGAAGACAAGGCGAGGGGUGAAAAGGCUCCGCCAGCGGAAUUGCAGUGCGAUGUACCUUUUCUUUCCGAAGAAAGAAAACAAAACAAAACAACCGCUGGUGCAAGAGGGAACCGCAAGCUGCAAAGUUAAAGAAAAGUCGACUUCCGUUGUCAUUUGCUGCUCCGAGUGCGAACGAGGAGAGAUCGACCCGGUGUCAGCAGAGGCUCCGCAGAGGAAAGGGAGACCGAUGGAAAUGUGUUUUAAAAGUCACCUCCAUUUCAACACCGAGCGCGGAAUUUGCCCAAAAAGGUUAGAAAGACAAAUAUUAAAUCUGCCUUCACAAAGGGAGCCGCUAAAUAGAUCCGAAAUUAAUAUGCAUGUAAAAUUAAUUAGCUGCAUUUCAUGACAUCAAAAUAAGUACCUGGGAAACAAGAACACCUUCUGGGCAUUUGGCACCAUA
This is a long non-coding RNA of Manacus vitellinus (golden-collared manakin), 472 nucleotides long. RefSeq lists it as uncharacterized. The record is from RefSeq and is a predicted model, not a curated record. Lineage: Eukaryota; Metazoa; Chordata; Aves; Passeriformes; Pipridae. The transcript has 3 exons.